This 254-nucleotide ribosomal RNA is filed under the name uncultured bacterium. RNAcentral describes it as "partial 16S ribosomal RNA". It matches the Rfam family "Bacterial small subunit ribosomal RNA", at positions 524 to 776 of the family's 1533-position model. The record is from RNAcentral.
UACGAGGGGAGCAAGCGUUGUUCGGAUUUACUGGGCGUAAAGGGCGCGUAGGCGGUCGUGACAAGUCACUUGUGAAAUCUCCGGGCUUAACUCGGAACGGUCAAGUGAUACUGUCGGACUAGAGUACAGAAGGGGCAACUGGAAUUCUCGGUGUAGCGGUGAAAUGCGUAGAUAUCGAGAGGAACACCUGCGGCGAAGGCGGGUUGCUGGGCCGACACUGACGCUGAGGCGCGAAAGCCAGGGGAGCGAACGGG